CGGGUGCGGAACACGUACAGAACCUCCCCCCCAGCGGGGAAUAGCCCCUGGAAACGGGGAUUAAUACCCCAUGACAUAACCUUGUGGCAUCACAUGGUUAUUAAAGGUUGACCACUGGGGGAUGGCUGUGCGGCCGAUUAGGUAGUUGGCGGGGUAAAGGCCCACCAAGCCUUCGAUCGGUAACUGGUGUGAGAGCACGACCAGUCACACGGGCACUGAGACACGGGCCCGACUCCUACGGGAGGCAGCAGUAAGGAAUAUUGGUCAAUGGGCGGAAGCCUGAACCAGCCAUGCCGCGUGGAGGAUGACUGCCCUCUGGGUUGUAAACUCCUUUUACGGGGGACGAAAAAAGGGCAUUCUUGCUCGUCUGACGGUACCCCGUGAAUAAGCACCGGCUAACUCCGUG
Molecule: ribosomal RNA, 406 nt
Filed under: uncultured bacterium
Lineage: Bacteria
Description: bacterial SSU rRNA
Rfam family: Bacterial small subunit ribosomal RNA
Source: RNAcentral